AACGAACGCUGGCGGCAGGCUUAACACAUGCAAAGUCGAACGGUCUCUUCGGAUCUAGUGGGCGCACGGGGUGCGUAACGCGUGGGAAUCUGCCCUUGGGUACGGAAUAACUCAGAGAAAAUUUGUGCUAAUACCGUAUAAUGUCUUCGGACCAAAGAUUUAUCGCCCAAGGAUGAGCCCGCGUAGGAUUAGCUAGUUGGUGAGGUAAAAGCCUCACCAAGGCGAGAUCCUUAGCUGGUCUGAGAGGAUGAUCAGCCACACUGGGACUGAGACACGGCCCCAGACUCCUACGGGAGGCAAGCAGUGGGGAAUAUUGGACAAUGGGCGAAAGCCUGAUCCAGCAAUGCCGCGUGAGUGAUGAAGGCCCUAGGGUUGUAAAGCUCUUUUACCCGGGAUGAUAAUGACAGUACCGGGAGAAUAAGCUCCGGCUAACUUCGUGCCCAGCAGCCGCGGUAAUACGAGGGGAGCUAGCGUUGUUCGGAAUUACUGGGCGUAAAGCGCGCGUAGGCGGUUUUUUAAGUCAGAGGUGAAAGCCCGGGGCUCAACCCCGGAAUAGCCUUUGAAACUGGAAAACUAGAAUCUUGGAGAGGUCAGUGGAAUUCCGAGUGUAGAGGUGAAAUUCGUAGAUAUUCGGAAGAACACCAGUGGCGAAGGCGACUGACUGGACAAGUAUUGACGCUGAGGUGCGAAAGCGUGGGGAGCAAACA
RNAcentral lists this ribosomal RNA (707 nucleotides) under uncultured Sphingomonas sp. RNAcentral describes it as "bacterial SSU rRNA". It matches the Rfam family "Bacterial small subunit ribosomal RNA", at positions 28 to 774 of the family's 1533-position model. The record is from RNAcentral. Lineage: Bacteria; Pseudomonadati; Pseudomonadota; Alphaproteobacteria; Sphingomonadales; Sphingomonadaceae.